GCUAUAAACUUAGCCCAACCCAGCACGAAUUUUACUAAAUUAAUUAACUUAUUUUAAUAAACCAUUCUAAGACUCUAGUGAAGGUGAUUGAGAAACUUAUUGGAGCUACAACAAUAGUACCGCAAGGGAAUAGUGAAAUAUCCAAUGAGAAAUUCUAAGCGAGAGAAAGUUAAGACUACUACUUGUACCUUUUGCAUUAUGGUUUAACUAGUCUAAUCAAGCGAAACGUAUUCCAGUUUGACCCCCCGAAACUAAGUGAGCUACUUCAGGGCAGCUUAAAGAGCUAACCCGUCUCUGUGGCAAAAGAGUGGGAUGACCCUCAAGUAGUGGUGACAGACCUAACGAACUUAGUGAUAGCUGGUUACUCAAGAAACGGAUCUAAGUCCAACCUGAAACCACACCUCAUAAGUUUACCAAAACAAUCUUCUACCUUUCAGCGUAAUUGGAAUAAGGUACAGCCUAUUUGAAACAGGAUACAACCUAAGCCAAUGGAUAAGAUUAGCCUGACGAACAACCAAGUGGGCCUAAAAGCAGCCAUCUUUAAAAUUGCGUCAAAGCUUAAUUCUUGUAACGCCUAAUGACUUGAUUAAUAUCUUAAUCCCCAAUCAACACUGAGUAAUUCUAUAAUACUAUAGAAAAUUUUAUGUUAAAACUAGUAACAAGAAGAAGGCUCUUCUCUUAAAUGUAAGUGUAAAUCAGAAAGGACAAGCCACUGAUAUUUAACACCCUUGAACCUAAAGUAGUAACUAACCAAGAAAAUACUUUACUAUAACAAACGUUAACCUAACACAAGCACAUUUUAAGAAAGAUUAAAAGAAUAAGAAGGAACUCGGCAAAUAUUAACCUCGCCUGUUUACCAAAAACAUCGCCUCUUGACCCAUCACAUAAGAGGUCCAGCCUGCCCAGUGACUCUGUUUAACGGCCGCGGUAUCCUAACCGUGCGAAGGUAGCGUAAUCACUUGUUCUUUAAAUGAGGACUAGUAUGAAUGGCAUCACGAAGGUUAUACUGUCUCCUUUUUUUGAUCAGUGAAACUAAUCUUCCCGUGAAGAAGCGGGAAUAAACUUAUAAGACGAGAAGACCCUAUGGAGCUUUAAACAACAUAGCAUUUACCACACAAAUAAAAAUUUCUGAAUUAAAGCUUUAUCAAGUAAAAUGACUAUAAGUUUUUGGUUGGGGUGACCGCGGAGCAUAAUAUAACCUCCAUGUUGAAAGAAUCUUAUUCUAAGCCAAGAACUACCCAUCUAAGCAUCAACACUUUGACAUCCAUUGACCCAAUUUUAUUGAACAACGAACCAAGUUACCCUAGGGAUAACAGCGCAAUCCACUUUAAGAGCCCCUAUCGACAAGUGGGUUUACGACCUCGAUGUUGGAUCAGGGUUUCCAAGUGGUGCAGCCGCUACUA
This 1403-nucleotide ribosomal RNA is filed under the name Ansonia fuliginea (North Borneo stream toad). RNAcentral's name for it is "partial 16S ribosomal RNA". It matches the Rfam family "Bacterial large subunit ribosomal RNA", at positions 372 to 2567 of the family's 2925-position model. Lineage: Eukaryota; Metazoa; Chordata; Amphibia; Anura; Bufonidae. The record is from RNAcentral.